RNAcentral lists this ribosomal RNA (254 nucleotides) under uncultured bacterium. RNAcentral's name for it is "partial 16S ribosomal RNA". It matches the Rfam family "Bacterial small subunit ribosomal RNA", at positions 524 to 776 of the family's 1533-position model. The record is from RNAcentral.
UACGUAGGCAGCGAGCGUUGUUCGGAGUUACUGGGCGUAAAGGGUGUGUAGGCGGUUGUUUAAGUUUGGGGGGAAAUCUCCCGGCUCAACUGGGAGGGUGCGCCGAAUACUGAAUGACUUCGAGUGCGGGAGAGGAGAGUGGAAUUCCUGGUGUAGCGGUGAAAUGCGCAGAUAUCAGGAAGAACACCCGUGGCGAAGGCGGCUCUCUGGGACGGUACUGACGCUGAGACGCGAAAGCGUGGGGAGCGAACAGG